AGAGUUUGAUCCUGGCUCAGGACGAACGCUGGCGGCGUGCCUAAUACAUGCAAGUAGAACGCUGAAGAAAGGAGCUUGCUUCUUUUGGAUGAGUUGCGAACGGGUGAGUAACGCGUAGGUAACCUGCCUUGUAGCGGGGGAUAACUAUUGGAAACGAUAGCUAAUACCGCAUAACAGCUUUUGACACAUGUUAGAAGCUUGAAAGAUGCAAUUGCAUCACUACGAGAUGGACCUGCGUUGUAUUAGCUAGUAGGUAGGGUAACGGCCUACCUAGGCGACGAUACAUAGCCGACCUGAGAGGGUGAUCGGCCACACUGGGACUGAGACACGGCCCAGACUCCUACGGGAGGCAGCAGUAGGGAACCUUCGGCAAUGGGGGCAACCCUGACCGAGCAACGCCGCGUGAGUGAAGAAGGUUUUCGGAUCGUAAAGCUCUGUUGUAAGAGAAGAACGUGUGUGAGAGUGGAAAGUUCACACAGUGACGGUAACUUACCAGAAAGGGACGGCUAACUACGUGCCAGCAGCCGCGGUAAUACGUAGGUCCCGAGCGUUGUCCGGAUUUAUUGGGCGUAAAGCGAGCGCAGGCGGUUUAAUAAGUCUGAAGUUAAAGGCAGUGGCUUAACCAUUGUUCGCUUUGGAAACUGUUAAACUUGAGUGCAGAAGGGGAGAGUGGAAUUCCAUGUGUAGCGGUGAAAUGCGUAGAUAUAUGGAGGAACACCGGUGGCGAAAGCGGCUCUCUGGUCUGUAACUGACGCUGAGGCUCGAAAGCGUGGGGAGCAAACAGGAUUAGAUACCCUGGUAGUCCACGCCGUAAACGAUGAGUGCUAGGUGUUAGGCCCUUUCCGGGGCUUAGUGCCGCAGCUAACGCAUUAAGCACUCCGCCUGGGGAGUACGACCGCAGGUUGAAACUCAAAGGAAUUGACGG
This 925-nucleotide ribosomal RNA is filed under the name uncultured bacterium. RNAcentral's name for it is "bacterial SSU rRNA". It matches the Rfam family "Bacterial small subunit ribosomal RNA", at positions 8 to 916 of the family's 1533-position model. The record is from RNAcentral.